Molecule: ribosomal RNA, 1411 nt
Filed under: uncultured prokaryote
Description: partial 16S ribosomal RNA
Rfam family: Bacterial small subunit ribosomal RNA
Source: RNAcentral
AGAGUUUGAUCAUGGCUCAGAGUGAACGCUGGCGGCAGGCCUAACACAUGCAAGUCGAGCGGCAGCGCGUCCGACCACCCUCGGGUGGUCGGAUGGCGGCGAGCGGCGGACGGGUGAGGAAUGCAUCGGAAUCUGCCUCGUUGUGGGGGAUAACGUAGGGAAACUUACGCUAAUACCGCAUACGACCUACGGGUGAAAGUGGGGGACCUUCGGGCCUCACGCGAUGAGAUGAGCCGAUGCCCUAUCAGCUUGUUGGUGGGGUAAUGGCCUACCAAGGCGAUGACGGGUAGCCGGUUUGAGAGGACGACCAGCCGCACUGGGACUGAGACACUGCCCAGACUCCUACGGGAGGCUGCAGUCGAGAAUCUUCCGCAAUGGGCGAAAGCCUGACGGAGCGACACCGCGUGCAGGACGACGGCCCUCGGGUUGUAAACUGCUGUCACGCACUAGGAAUGUCAUGUCGUUAAUAGCGGCAUGAUUGACUAACGCGAGAGGAAGUGGCGGCUAACUCUGUGCCAGCAGCCGCGGUAAGACAGAGGCCACAAACGUUGUUCGGAAUUACUGGGCAUAAAGCGCACGUAGGCGGCUAGGUCAGUCCGUUGUGAAAGCCCUCGGCUCAACCGGGGAACAGCAAUGGAUACUGCCUGGCUAGAGGACGGUUGGGGUGAGUGGAACUCCUGGUGGAGCGGUGAAAUGCGUAGAUAUCAGGAGGAACACCGGUGGCGAAAGCGGCUCACUGGACCGUAUCUGACGCUGAGGUGCGAAAGCUUGGGUAGCGAACGGGAUUAGAUACCCCGGUAGUCCUAGCCGUAAACGAUGGGCACUAGGUAGGGGGAAUGCCUAUGGUUUUCCCUGCCGGAGCAAAUGUGUUAAGUGCCCCGCCUGGGGAGUACGCUCGCAAGGGUAAAACUCAAAGGAAUUGACGGGGGCUCACACAAGCGGUGGAGCAUGUGGUUUAAUUCGAAGCAACGCGAAGAACCUUACCUGGCCUUGACAUGUAAUUGUUACUGAUGGAAACAUUGGGUCUUAUGGGAAACCAUAAGCUGUUACACAGGUGCUGCAUGGCUGUCGUCAGCUCGUGUCGUGAGAUGUUGGGUUAAGUCCUUUAACGAGCGCAACCCUUGCCGUUAGUUGCUAUCGCGAAAGCGAGCACUCUAGCGGGACUGCCUGGGAAACCAGGAGGAAGGUGGGGAUGACGUCAAGUCCGCAUGGCCCUUAUGUCCAGGGCUACACACGUGUUACAAUGGUGAGUACAAACGGAAGCAAGACCGCGAGGUGGAGCAAACCUGAUAAAACUCAUCUAAGUUCGGAUCGAAGUCUGCGACCCGGCUUCGUGAAGUUGAAAUCGCUAGUAAUCGCGCAUCAGAACGGCGCGGUGAAUACGUUCUCGGACCUUGCACACACCGCCCGU